RNAcentral lists this unclassified non-coding RNA (319 nucleotides) under rhizosphere metagenome. RNAcentral's name for it is "partial ribosomal RNA internal transcribed spacer region". The record is from RNAcentral.
GUAGGUGAACCUGCGGAAGGAUCAUUAACACGUAUCCACGUAUCAAAACCCCUCUGUGCACAACCUCUUCGUAAGGUUUGGUCGGAGUUGUGUUCAUUCGAUCUUAAUGAUGGGAGUUCUUUGGGACUCGGGAUCUAUGAAUGAGCACAGCGUUUGACGAUCGGCCGCUAUUUUCCCAUCGUUAGCUUUAACUUUUUAAACCCCUUGUACUUUUUUGUACUGAACCAAUUCUUCGAGUUUCGAGUCCCUUUGGGAUUUGAGAUACGAAAGAUAUUACGAAACUAAAGAACAACUCUUAGCAACGGAUAUCUUGGUUCCC